Molecule: RNA transcript, 1855 nt
Organism: Pan troglodytes (chimpanzee)
Lineage: Eukaryota; Metazoa; Chordata; Mammalia; Primates; Hominidae
Gene: RALY
Gene name: RALY heterogeneous nuclear ribonucleoprotein
Exons: 12
Source: RefSeq, marked provisional
GACGACGACGACUCCCGCGCGUGUGCCCAGCCUCUUCCCGCCGCAGCCGCCCUUUUCCUCCCUCCCUUACGUCCCCGAGUGCGGCAGUACCGCCUCCUUCCCAGCCGCGCGGCUUCCUCCAGAUCUCUCGGCGCGGGUGAGCCCUAUUCCCAGAGGCAGGUGGUGCUGACCCUGUAACCCAAAGGAGGAAACAGCUGGCUAAGCUCAGCAUUGUUACUGGUUCCCAGAGAGAGGGCUUCUUGAAAAGCAAGUAGAGCAGAAGACUGGUGAGCACGGUGUUUCCCAGCAUCUCCACAGUGCCAGCACAGAGGAGGACACUCAAGAAAUGUUUGUUAAGUGGGCACCAUGUCCUUGAAGCUUCAGGCAAGCAAUGUAACCAACAAGAAUGACCCCAAGUCCAUCAACUCUCGAGUCUUCAUUGGAAACCUCAACACAGCUCUGGUGAAGAAAUCAGAUGUGGAGACCAUCUUCUCUAAGUAUGGCCGUGUGGCCGGCUGUUCUGUGCACAAGGGCUAUGCCUUUGUUCAGUACUCCAAUGAGCGCCAUGCCCGGGCAGCUGUGCUGGGAGAGAAUGGGCGGGUGCUGGCCGGGCAGACCCUGGACAUCAACAUGGCUGGAGAGCCUAAGCCUGACAGACCCAAGGGGCUAAAGAGAGCAGCAUCUGCCAUAUACAGUGGCUACAUCUUUGACUAUGAUUACUACCGGGACGACUUCUACGACAGGCUCUUCGACUACCGGGGCCGUCUGUCGCCCGUGCCAGUGCCCAGGGCGGUCCCUGUGAAGCGACCCCGGGUCACAGUCCCUUUGGUCCGGCGUGUCAAAACUAACGUACCUGUCAAGCUCUUUGCCCGCUCCACGGCUAUCACCACCAGCUCAGCCAAGAUCAAGUUAAAGAGCAGUGAGCUGCAGGCCAUCAAGACGGAGCUGACACAGAUCAAGUCCAAUAUCGAUGCCCUGCUGAGCCGCUUGGAGCAGAUCGCUGCGGAGCAAAAGGCCAAUCCAGAUGGCAAGAAGAAGGGUGAUGGAGGUGGCGCCAGCGGCGGCGGCGGUGGUGGUGGCGGCGGUGGCGGUGGCAGUGGUGGUGGCGGUGGCGGUGGCAGCAGCCGGCCACCAGCCCCCCAAGAGAACACAACUUCUGAGGCAGGCCUGCCCCAGGGAGAAGCACGGACCCGAGACGACGGCGAUGAGGAGGGGCUCCUGACACACAGCGAGGAAGAGCUGGGGUUCUGGUCCUGGGGGAAAGAGGGAAGAAUGAGCAGGGGGCACUUGCCUAUCUCAGACACCAUCAGAAGUCCCACUGAGGCCUAGGGCAGACCUCCCCCAAAUGCGGGCACAUUCUGGCCUCCGGUUUCCACAUGAGUUGGAGAAUGGGAGAUUCGGACAUAAGGGAGCACACACGGCCUGCAGAGCUUCAGAGCAGGGCUGGGGUGGCUUGUGGAGGCCACAGCCAGGAGGAACACAGCCAGGACACAGACGCGGAUGAUGGGGCCUUGCAGUAAGCAGCCUGACAGGAGCAAUGGCCACCAGCAGGUGAAGGGCAUCGCUGCCCCAGGCCUCAAGCCGGGCACCCAACCCUGGAUGCCACCCCCCAGCGGGUACCAGAGGAAAGCUGGCAGCAGGCGCCUCCUCCCCCAACGCAUCCCAGCCAGUGCCAUGUCCUCUGCAGGUGGAGUUACUGGCCUACUCCUUCCCCACGAGCCCUCCCUGUCUGCACUGCCCAGGCCAGAGGGUAGAGCACAGGGGUUUCCCCAUACUGCCUCCCCUCCCCAGGACACUCCCAGGCUUGGGUUUUUUCUAUAGGUUUGGCGGGGGGCCACAGGGAGGGGACCCUGAUAAUAAAGAGAUUGGAUCCCAA